RNAcentral lists this ribosomal RNA (253 nucleotides) under uncultured bacterium. Its description in RNAcentral is "partial 16S ribosomal RNA". It matches the Rfam family "Bacterial small subunit ribosomal RNA", at positions 524 to 776 of the family's 1533-position model. The record is from RNAcentral.
UACGUAGGGGGCUAGCGUUGUCCGGAAUCAUUGGGCGUAAAGCGCGUGUAGGCGGUCCGGUAAGUCUGCUGUGAAAGUCGGGGGCUCAACCCUCGGAUGCCGGUGGAUACUGUCGGGCUCGAGUACGGAAGAGGCGAGUGGAAUUCCUGGUGUAGCGGUGAAAUGCGCAGAUAUCAGGAGGAACACCAAUUGCGAAGGCAGCUCGCUGGGACGUUACUGACGCUGAGACGCGAAAGCGUGGGGAGCAAACAGG